GACGAACGCUGGCGGCGUGCUUAACACAUGCAAGUCGAACGGAAAGGCCUGCUUUCCCUUGUGGAUUGCGGGUACUCGAGUGGCGAACGGGUGAGUAACACGUGAGUGAUCUGCCCCCAACUUUGGUAUAAGCCUGGGAAACUGGGUCUAAUUCCCGAUAGGACUGCAGGGUGGUGCCUGUGGUGGAAAACGAUUUUCUAGUGGUUGGGGAUGAGCUCGCGGCCUAUCAGCUUGUUGGUGGGGUAAUGGCCUACCAAGGCGGCGACGGGUAGCCGGCCUGAGAGGGUGGACGGUCACAUUGGGACUGAGAUACGGCCCAGACUCCUACGGGAGGCAGCAGUGGGGAAUAUUGCACAAUGGGCGGAAGCCUGAUGCAGCGACGCCGCGUGGGGGAUGACGGCCUUCGGGUUGUAAACUCCUUUCGACCGCGAGGAAGCCACCUGGUUGGAAGGGUGGUGACGGUAGUGGUAGAAGAAGCACCGGCUAACUACGUG
RNAcentral lists this ribosomal RNA (494 nucleotides) under uncultured bacterium. Its description in RNAcentral is "partial 16S ribosomal RNA". It matches the Rfam family "Bacterial small subunit ribosomal RNA", at positions 28 to 507 of the family's 1533-position model. The record is from RNAcentral.